UACGUAGGGUGCGAGCGUUAAUCGGAAUUACUGGGCGUAAAGCGUGCGCAGGCGGUUUUGUAAGCCAGAUGUGAAAUCCCCGGGCUUAACCUGGGAAUGGCAUUUGGGACUGCAAGGCUUGAGUUUGGCAGAGGAGACUGGAAUUCCUGGUGUAGCAGUGAAAUGCGUAGAUAUCAGGAGGAAUACCGAUGGCGAAGGCAGGUCUCUGGGCCACUACUGACGCUGAGAAGCGAAA
RNAcentral lists this ribosomal RNA (235 nucleotides) under uncultured bacterium. Its description in RNAcentral is "partial 16S ribosomal RNA". It matches the Rfam family "Bacterial small subunit ribosomal RNA", at positions 524 to 758 of the family's 1533-position model. The record is from RNAcentral.